CUGAUGCAUUUGGCGUCGAAACGAGGAAGACGAAGCUACCAAGAAAUCCCGCGCGAAAACAACCUUCUUUGAUCAUCUCCUAUUCACUCUUCGAAUCUUCGUUUCCCCUUCGAUUUCUCAUCAAUUCUCUUCCUCUAUCUAAUCACUUUGGCUAUUUAUUUAUGUGUACAAUAAUUGCCUAUGAUCCGAUACGAGAUGAAACGCCGCUUUUUUCUGGUUUCGUUGUUUUUGUUGUACCACUCCGCGCUUGCUUCUCCCAACUCUCCAUGGGGACUCAAUGUUUUCCAAGCUGCCGGCCGCCGUGUUUUGAUGUCCGAUGCUACCAAAGUGCCUGAUACUGCAUUAGUGGCUGCCUUGGAUGGUACUACUAUUUAUCUAUUGGAUGUUGGUUCCCUGAAACCCCUUUGGUCAUUUUCGUCACUCAGCCCCUGUUAAUGAUAAGGAAAAUGCAUCUGGAGUAGAAACUAAUUACUUUAUUGAUUGUGGAGAUGAUUGGGAAUUAUACAGCCUUGACAAACUGGUAUGUAUCUAUUCAUUAGAAUAACUGGAACUUUGCUGCAAGGUUAAACAUAUAUGAUGCUUCUACUCAAAUUACUAACCAUGCUAUAUAUUGAUCAAUCCAACAACAUUGUAAUCUUGGAUGUACUUAGUACUGUCAGUGAACCGGGCCCAGUUCAACUAUGAAUAGCUCAAAAACAGUUCGUUUCAGUUUGAUAACCAAGCUCGAGCUUGUUCAUUUUAAAUAUACUAUUUAGCUUGCUAAACAUUGAGCUUGAUUCUUAACCAGAUCGUUAAUCAUCUUAGAGUUUAGACUUAUUUCAUUAAGUAUAUUUGAGCUCGAGAUACGACUUGUUUGUUUAUAGCCAUUUGUAUAAUGGAAAUCUUUGAAAUGCCAAAUCAUUAUUAGCUUAGAUUAUGAAGUUUGUGUAUUUACAUUUCACUUUAUAGAGGGUAAAGUCGGGGUCAAUACUUUGUGUCACUUAAAACUGAAUUCUAGGCACAGGAAACUCCAUGGAAAUCAAUGUAAGUCAAGUAUCGAAUUUUGAAUCUUUAUAUUGGUACGGAGAUACUAUGCUGGUCUGACUUAUUAUGAUCUAUAUUGAAUUGUGUUUACUAGAAUUGCUGGCCUUAAUGGUCUUCCUCUUA
Molecule: long non-coding RNA, 1146 nt
Organism: Salvia splendens (bonfire salvia)
Lineage: Eukaryota; Viridiplantae; Streptophyta; Magnoliopsida; Lamiales; Lamiaceae
Exons: 2
Source: RefSeq, a predicted model, not a curated record